Molecule: ribosomal RNA, 1345 nt
Filed under: uncultured bacterium
Lineage: Bacteria
Description: partial 16S ribosomal RNA
Rfam family: Bacterial small subunit ribosomal RNA
Source: RNAcentral
GACGAACGCUGGCGGCGUGCUUAACACAUGCAAGUCGAACGGAAAGGCCCUGCUUUUGUGGGGUGCUCGAGUGGCGAACGGGUGAGUAACACGUGAGUAACCUGCCCUUGACUUUGGGAUAACUUCAGGAAACUGGGGCUAAUACCGGAUAGGAGCUCCUGCUGCAUGGUGGGGGUUGGAAAGUUUCGGCGGUUGGGGAUGGACUCGCGGCUUAUCAGCUUGUUGGUGGGGUAGUGGCUUACCAAGGCUUUGACGGGUAGCCGGCCUGAGAGGGUGACCGGCCACAUUGGGACUGAGAUACGGCCCAGACUCCUACGGGAGGCAGCAGUGGGGAAUAUUGCACAAUGGGCGGAAGCCUGAUGCAGCAACGCCGCGUGCGGGAUGACGGCCUUCGGGUUGUAAACCGCUUUCGCCCGUGACGAAGCGUGAGUGACGGUAAUGGGUAAAGAAGCACCGGCUAACUACGUGCCAGCAGCCGCGGUGAUACGUAGGGUGCGAGCGUUGUCCGGAUUUAUUGGGCGUAAAGGGCUCGUAGGUGGUUGAUCGCGUCGGAAGUGUAAUCUUGGGGCUUAACCCUGAGCGUGCUUUCGAUACGGGUUGACUUGAGGAAGGUAGGGGAGAAUGGAAUUCCUGGUGGAGCGGUGGAAUGCGCAGAUAUCAGGAGGAACACCAGUGGCGAAGGCGGUUCUCUGGGCCUUUCCUGACGCUGAGGAGCGAAAGCGUGGGAGCGAACAGGCUUAGAUACCCUGGUAGUCCACGCUGUAAACGGUGGGUACUAGGUGUGGGGUCCAUUCCACGGGUUCCGUGCCGUAGCUAACGCUUUAAGUACCCCGCCUGGGGAGUACGGCCGCAAGGCUAAAACUCAAAGGAAUUGACGGGGCCCCGCACAAGCGGCGGAGCAUGCGGAUUAAUUCGAUGCAACGCGUAGAACCUUACCUGGGUUUGACAUGGAUCGGGAGUGCUCAGAGAUGGGUGUGCCUCUUUUGGGGUCGGUUCACAGGUGGUGCAUGGCUGUCGUCAGCUCGUGUCGUGAGAUGUUGGGUUAAGUCCCGCAACGAGCGCAACCCUUGUUCACUGUUGCCAGCACGUUAUGGUGGGGACUCAGUGGAGACCGCCGGGGUCAACUCGGAGGAAGGUGGGGAUGACGUCAAGUCAUCAUGCCCCUUAUGUCCAGGGCUUCACGCAUGCUACAAUGGCUGGUACAGAGAGUGGCGAGCCUGUGAGGGUGAGCGAAUCUCGGAAAGCCGGUCUCAGUUCGGAUUGGGGUCUGCAACUCGACCUCAUGAAGUCGGAGUCGCUAGUAAUCGCAGAUCAGCAACGCUGCGGUGAAUACGUUCCCGGGGCU